CCGAGUUUACAACUCCCAAACCCCUGUGAACAUACCUAUAUGUUGCCUCGGCGGAUCAGCCCGCGCCCCCGUAAAACGGGACGGCCCGCCGCAGGAUCCACAAACUCUGUUUUUAUUGUAACUUCUGAGUAACAAAACAAAUAAAUCA
RNAcentral lists this unclassified non-coding RNA (148 nucleotides) under soil metagenome. RNAcentral describes it as "partial internal transcribed spacer 1". The record is from RNAcentral.